RNAcentral lists this ribosomal RNA (485 nucleotides) under uncultured bacterium. Its description in RNAcentral is "partial 16S ribosomal RNA". It matches the Rfam family "Bacterial small subunit ribosomal RNA", at positions 28 to 507 of the family's 1533-position model. The record is from RNAcentral.
AUUGAACGCUGGCGGCAUGCCUUACACAUGCAAGUCGAACGGCAGCGGGCCCUUCGGGGUGCCGGCGAGUGGCGAACGGGUGAGUAACGCAUCGGAACGUACCCGGGAGAGGGGGAUAACCGGCCGAAAGGCUGGCUAAUACCGCAUGAACUCGGAAGAGCAAAGCGGGGGACCUUCGGGCCUCGCGCUCUCGGAGCGGCCGAUGUCCGAUUAGGCUAGUUGGUGGGGUAAAGGCCCACCAAGGCGACGAUCGGUAGCGGGUCUGAGAGGACGAUCCGCCACACUGGGACUGAGACACGGCCCAGACUCCUACGGGAGGCAGCAGUGGGGAAUCUUGGACAAUGGGCGCAAGCCUGAUCCAGCAAUGCCGCGUGGGUGAAGAAGGCCUUCGGGUUGUAAAGCCCUUUCGGCGGGGAAGAAAUCGGUCAGGCGAAUAGUCUGGCCGGAUGACGGUACCCGCAGAAGAAGCACCGGCUAACUACGUG